Molecule: long non-coding RNA, 720 nt
Organism: Branchiostoma floridae (Florida lancelet)
Lineage: Eukaryota; Metazoa; Chordata; Leptocardii; Amphioxiformes; Branchiostomatidae
Exons: 3
Source: RefSeq, a predicted model, not a curated record
GAAGAGUCUCAGGUGAGAAACAUCUGCAUUGUUCAUCAAUUUUAUUUUCAUUCUUCAGUCCUUUUUCCGACAAGUGUGUAACUAGUUAUCUUUGUAGUUAGGAGACUGCUGACUCAGAUGACCUGACUGAUGGAUCCUGUCUCAAGACUUGGGAUGCAGUUACCAUGGAGACGGAUGGGAUGAAGCUGAGCAGUUUCACCGGGUAAGCUUCACAGUUUAUGUGGAAUGUCUUUUAUUCUGUCAUCGCUUUUGUAAUCACCAAUGUGAAAUAUGAAAUGUGGAGACAUGUAACCCACAUCUCAACAUUGAAAUUUAUGAAGCCUACAGAUGCAAGUAAAAUUCACAGACUGAAUAAAGUUGCUAAUAAAAUGCACACCUUGAGCCUAUUAUAUCAAUGUUUAUGUAUCCAUCUGACUCUUCUUUUCAGUCUUAGGUAUGUCCUGGAGGCCAGCAGUGAUUCCGAUCCAGAAAGCUGUUACCUUGGAGUGCAGUGUUGCUUAGCGACACCGAGGGAGGGUUUAGUUUCCACUGACAGACGUCUGUCUGGAAGGCCUGAGCUGUGACUCCUGUCCAUAUCAGAUGAGGAAUGCCGUGUGGCUUAGAGACACCGAGGGAGUGGAAUACAAACUAAGAUGUGACCCCGGAGACUGGACUGCAGCCUGGUGGGCAGCAAAAGAAGAUUGGGGGAGUUGUGAGUAUGGUCUCUUUGUUAACACAAGA